AAAAAAAAGAAAAGAAAAAAAAAACUACAAAAAUUAGUAGAUAUGUAUCCAAUAUUAUUGUUCUUGCCAUUUUAGAAAACAUAUUUUACUUUUAAAUAGUGGGCCAUACUCUUGCUUGCUUUCAUUUUCUCUCACUUUACUUUCCUUUACUAGUAGCAAGGUCCAAUCUCUUAACCUAGUGCUCUAACACCAACUUUAUAACGACACAAGUUUGGACCUUUGUUGACGCUAUAGCUUAGGUUAGCAUAAAGCCCCCUAAACUUUUAGCAAACCUAAUAACUUACAUAAAAAUCUCAUAAAUCUCAUUUAGGGCCUAAUACUAUUCAUGUAACAACCCAAUAUGGGACAGCUAUUAGCGUUAAGGGAAUGGCUAGGCUAGGAGCCACCAAAAUCCAUAGCAAGCCUAAACAUCACAUUUCAUAGAUAGUGUGGGGCUCAUUUUAGUCAUAAAACACUUUAAAAAUAAAAUAACUUCAUUUAUUAUAAAACAUUUAGUUUACAAGCACAUUAAUCCUUCAUACAAUUACAUGUCGUAAAAGGAGUUCUAUAAUUCCUACUCAUACUUCUUUAAAAUAUAAUAAGGCAGUAGCCUUUGGAACUCAUAGCAUGAAUGUGCUAAAUUGUAUCUUUAACUCUCGUCCUUUAAAGGGUGAGCUUUGGGGUUUAGUGAGUAAAAUCCUAUUUAAGGGGAUAAAAUAUAUAGUAAAACAAUUUACAUUUUUAAGCAUAUGCAUUGCAACAUUCUCACAUUGGUCUUACAUCACAUACAAUUCACAUCAAGGUAAUUCAUGUCACUAGUUGUUCCUUAGCAAUUUUAUUAUAAUAAACAUAUAUUCAAUGUGCUAAGCCCAUUAUAGGAGCUCCUGAGAAUUUCCUCUUAUCAUUUUAUAUCAAAAAUUUGGGGUUAGAGACACAUAAUUGCCGUACUUGGUUAUCCCAUAUCAUAGUGAGUUCAUUAUGCAUGCAUGCAUGCCAUUCCUUUCCUUUAUCAUAUCAUUUCUAAUUGGGAACUAGUGGGUCAUCAAUGAACUACCAGCACAACAAAAGUAAUAAUAUAACACCUUCAUGAGUUGGUGUGUAUAUAUAUAUAUAUCUAAUAAAAUAACCAUGAUGCAUGAAUGCAUAUUGUAUACACUAAUUUUUUUUAUCUUUAUAGAACCUACGCAUUUAAGGUAGUAAGAAGCCCAACAAUGAAAGCUAUAAAUGGUUCCAAGGAUGUUGAAGGUACUGAAGAAAUGUAUAUGAGAUAUUCUAUAUACUAAAAAUAAAAAUUAAAUAGGUUUAUUGAAG
Molecule: unclassified non-coding RNA, 1290 nt
Filed under: Hevea brasiliensis (rubber tree)
Lineage: Eukaryota; Viridiplantae; Streptophyta; Magnoliopsida; Malpighiales; Euphorbiaceae
Source: RNAcentral